GGCGCUAUAGUGUAGUGGCUAUCACAACGGAUUCUGACCUGCUAACGCCACUUUCCGUUAACCCAGGUUCGAACCCUGGUAGCGCCU
This is a non-coding RNA of Russula earlei, 87 nucleotides long. The record is from the annotation of a GenBank genome assembly. NCBI's taxonomy places the organism in Eukaryota, Fungi, Basidiomycota, Agaricomycetes, Russulales, Russulaceae.